Molecule: long non-coding RNA, 1045 nt
Filed under: Homo sapiens (human)
Lineage: Eukaryota; Metazoa; Chordata; Mammalia; Primates; Hominidae
Description: HSALNT0113350
Source: RNAcentral
ACUAAAUCUGUUUUCUACUUGAUCUAUAGUAAAUUGAAAUCUUGAAAUUAAAGUGCAGGUUGGUGACUUGCCACAUAUUCCAAAAAGCAUCACAGAAUCCAGAGAAAUCAAUGGAGGAAUAAAGAAGCAUGACCAAUUUUGUCUCAAAUUUAUUCUUUCACAGCUGAACCACUUGCUGAUAGGACAGUUGUUUGAUUCUGAGAUCCCUCAUUUGCUCUAUUUUCCAGUUUAGGUAUUGCUGAUUUGAAAUGUACCAGUGUCUCAAGCUCAAUGCAGCAAAGAUCUGGAAUCCUUCUCUUCUUUGAGGGAAGUGGAGGACCCCUCAUGCACUGGCUGUGACCAAUCAAGUUUUGCUCGAUGCCAAAAAAUUAAACACAGUAAGGCCAGGCCCUGUCAGCAAAGAGUUGAUUGCUUUAAAUAAGGGAGAUUUCCUGAAUGUUUAAAUUGAAACUUCGACUUUGAUUAAAGCAAAGAGAAGUACCAGGAUGGCUUCCUAACUAUUUAGUUCCUAAAAUUCCUGUGAGGUCUGGAGAUGACAAAUUCAAUUCUGAUGUGCUGUGUUUUACACUCUGCAGACUGUAGUAAAAGGGAAAACUAAUCAAGCUUGGGUUUCCCAUGGGCUGAGCUUUAAGAUGUUUUCCUAUUUAAAGCCAUGGAAAUAUGUUAAAACCCACAUAGGCACAGUGAAGUUUAUAUAAGGCAAAAUCUAUGUGACUAUGUUUUUGCACAGUGUGCAUAUUUUGAUUUUUCAUUAUUUUUGGUUUGUUUAAUGGCUUAUUUUGCUUAAAAUUAUAUUCCUACAAUAGUUUUAUAAUAAAAGAUUGGAAAGAAUGGUUUAUAAAUAUAUCUAUACGUCUAUUAUACAUAUACACAAUUUAUAUUGUAAAGUGGUUAUGUUGUCAAGUAGAACACAUUCACUUGAAUUUAAAAUUUUUAUUAAAAAUAAAAAAUAGAAAAUUGAUGAAUGACAGACAUAAAAAUGCAUGGCUAUCUAUCCAGACAUGCCAAGAUACAAACUAAGGAUUUAUUUUUAGAGCCAGUGCAG